This 253-nucleotide ribosomal RNA is filed under the name uncultured bacterium. Its description in RNAcentral is "partial 16S ribosomal RNA". It matches the Rfam family "Bacterial small subunit ribosomal RNA", at positions 524 to 776 of the family's 1533-position model. The record is from RNAcentral.
UACGUAGGGGGCAAGCGUUGUUCGGAAUUACUGGGCGUAAAGGGCGCGUAGGCGGCACGGCAAGUCAGGAGUGAAAGCCCGGGGCUCAACCCCGGAAUGUCUUUUGAAACUGCCGAGCUAGAGUGCGGAAGAGGCAACUGGAAUUCCCAGUGUAGCGGUGAAAUGCGUAGAUAUCAGGAGGAACACCGGUGGCGAAGGCGGAUCUCUGGGCCAUUACUGACGCUGAGGAGCGAAAGCGUGGGGAGCGAACAGG